GAGGUUAUAGCUCAGUGGUAGAGCACGUGCUUAGCAUGCAUGAGGUCCUGGGUUCAAUUCCCCAGUACCUCCA
RNAcentral lists this transfer RNA (73 nucleotides) under Camelus bactrianus (Bactrian camel). It matches the Rfam family "tRNA". From Rfam's summary of the family: Transfer RNA (tRNA) molecules are approximately 80 nucleotides in length. Their secondary structure includes four short double-helical elements and three loops (D, anti-codon, and T loops). Further hydrogen bonds mediate the characteristic L-shaped molecular structure. tRNAs have two regions of fundamental functional importance: the anti-codon, which is responsible for specific mRNA codon recognition, and the 3' end, to which the tRNAs corresponding amino acid is attached (by aminoacyl-tRNA synthetases). tRNAs cope with the degeneracy of the genetic code in two manners: having more than one tRNA (with a specific anti-codon) for a particular amino acid; and 'wobble' base-pairing, i.e. permitting non-standard base-pairing at the 3rd anti-codon position. RNAcentral also lists the same sequence under 2 other names. Lineage: Eukaryota; Metazoa; Chordata; Mammalia; Artiodactyla; Camelidae. The record is from Rfam by way of RNAcentral.